GGGUUGUGAGGUUAAGCGACUAAGCGUACACGGUGGAUGCCCUGGCAGUCAGAGGCGAUGAAGGACGUGCUAAUCUGCGAAAAGCGCCGGCGAGGUGAUAUGAACCUUUGACCCGGCGAUGUCCGAAUGGGGAAACCCAGUGCAAUUCGUUGCACUAUCGUUAACUGAAUACAUAGGUUAACGAGGCGAACCGGGGGAACUGAAACAUCUAAGUACCCCGAGGAAAAGAAAUCAACCGAGAUUCCCCCAGUAGCGGCGAGCGAACGGGGAGCAGCCCGGAGUCUGAAUCAGCUUGUGUGUUAGUGGAACGGUCUGGAAAGUCCGACGGUACAGGGUGAUAGUCCCGUACACGAAAAUGCACAGGUUGUGAACUCGAAGAGUAGGGCGGGACACGUGGUAUCCUGUCUGAAUAUGGGGGGACCAUCCUCCAAGGCUAAAUACUCCUGACUGACCGAUAGUGAACCAGUACCGUGAGGGAAAGGCGAAAAGAACCCCGGCGAGGGGAGUGAAAAAGAACCUGAAACCGUGUACGUACAAGCAGUGGGAGCCUCUUUAUGGGGUGACUGCGUACCUUUUGUAUAAUGGGUCAGCGACUUAUAUUCUGUAGCAAGGUUAACCGUAUAGGGGAGCCGAAGGGAAACCGAGUCUUAACUGGGCGUUAAGUUGCAGGGUAUAGACCCGAAACCCGGUGAUCUAGCCAUGGGCAGGUUGAAGGUUGGGUAACACUAACUGGAGGACCGAACCGACUAAUGUUGAAAAAUUAGCGGAUGACCUGUGGCUGGGGGUGAAAGGCCAAUCAAACCGGGAGAUAGCUGGUUCUCCCCGAAAGCUAUUUAGGUAGCGCCUCGUGAAUUCAUCUUCGGGGGUAGAGCACUGUUUCGGCUAGGGGGCCAUCCCGGCUUACCAACCCGAUGCAAACUACGAAUACCGAAGAAUGUUAUCACGGGAGACACACGGCGGGUGCUAACGUCCGUCGUGAAGAGGGAAACAACCCAGACCGCCAGCUAAGGUCCCAAAGUCAUGGUUAAGUGGGAAACGAUGUGGGAAGGCACAGACAGCCAGGAUGUUGGCUUAGAAGCAGCCAUCAUUUAAAGAAAGCGUAAUAGCUCACUGGUCGAGUCGGCCUGCGCGGAAGAUGUAACGGGGCUAAACCAUGCACCGAAGCUGCGGCAGCGACGCUUAUGCGUUGUUGGGUAGGGGAGCGUUCUGUAAGCCGUUGAAGGUGUCCUGUGAGGGGUGCUGGAGGUAUCAGAAGUGCGAAUGCUGACAUAAGUAACGAUAAAGCGGGUGAAAAGCCCGCUCGCCGGAAGACCAAGGGUUCCUGUCCAACGUUAAUCGGGGCAGGGUGAGUCGACCCCUAAGGCGAGGCCGAAAGGCGUAGUCGAUGGGAAACAGGUUAAUAUUCCUGUACUUGGUGUUACUGCGAAGGGGGGACGGAGAAGGCUAUGUCAGCCGGGCGACGGUUGUCCCGGUUUAAGCAUGUAGGCGGAGGUUCCAGGUAAAUCCGGUACCUUAUUAACGCUGAGGUGUGAUGACGAGGCACUACGGUGCUGAAGUGAUAAAUGCCCUGCUUCCAGGAAAAGCCUCUAAGCAUCAGGUAACACGAAAUCGUACCCCAAACCGACACAGGUGGUCAGGUAGAGAAUACCAAGGCGCUUGAGAGAACUCGGGUGAAGGAACUAGGCAAAAUGGUGCCGUAACUUCGGGAGAAGGCACGCUGAUAUGUAGGUGAAGUCCCUGCGGACGGAGCUGAAAUCAGUCGAAGAUACCAGCUGGCUGCAACUGUUUAUUAAAAACACAGCACUGUGCAAACACGAAAGUGGACGUAUACGGUGUGACGCCUGCCCGGUGCCGGAAGGUUAAUUGAUGGGGUUAGCGGCAACGCGAAGCUCUUGAUCGAAGCCCCGGUAAACGGCGGCCGUAACUAUAACGGUCCUAAGGUAGCGAAAUUCCUUGUCGGGUAAGUUCCGACCUGCACGAAUGGCGUAAUGAUGGCCAGGCUGUCUCCACCCGAGACUCAGUGAAAUUGAACUCGCUGUGAAGAUGCAGUGUACCCGCGGCAAGACGGAAAGACCCCGUGAACCUUUACUAUAGCUUGACACUGAACACUGGUCCUUGAUGUGUAGGAUAGGUGGGAGGCUUUGAAGCGUGGACGCCAGUCUGCGUGGAGCCAACCUUGAAAUACCACCCUUUAAUGGCUGGUGUUCUAACGUAGACCCGUAAUCCGGGUUGCGGACAGUGUCUGGUGGGUAGUUUGACUGGGGCGGUCUCCUCCCAAAGAGUAACGGAGGAGCACGAAGGUUGGCUAAUCCUGGUCGGACAUCAGGAGGUUAGUGCAAUGGCAUAAGCCAGCUUGACUGCGAGCGUGACGGCGCGAGCAGGUGCGAAAGCAGGUCAUAGUGAUCCGGUGGUUCUGAAUGGAAGGGCCAUCGCUCAACGGAUAAAAGGUACUCCGGGGAUAACAGGCUGAUACCGCCCAAGAGUUCAUAUCGACGGCGGUGUUUGGCACCUCGAUGUCGGCUCAUCACAUCCUGGGGCUGAAGUAGGUCCCAAGGGUAUGGCUGUUCGCCAUUUAAAGUGGUACGCGAGCUGGGUUUAGAACGUCGUGAGACAGUUCGGUCCCUAUCUGCCGUGGGCGCUGGAGAAUUGAGGGGGGCUGCUCCUAGUACGAGAGGACCGGAGUGGACGCAUCACUGGUGUUCGGGUUGUCAUGCCAAUGGCACUGCCCGGUAGCUAAAUGCGGAAGAGAUAAGUGCUGAAAGCAUCUAAGCACGAAACUUGCCCCGAGAUGAGUUCUCCCUGAGACUUUAAGUCUCCUGAAGGAACGUUGAAGACGACGACGUUGAUAGGUCGGGUGUGUAAGCGCAGCGAUGCGUUGAGCUAACCGAUACUAAUGAACCGUGAGGCUUAACCUUACAACGCCGAAGCUGUU
This 2932-nucleotide ribosomal RNA is filed under the name Enterobacter hormaechei. Its description in RNAcentral is "23S ribosomal RNA". It matches the Rfam family "Bacterial large subunit ribosomal RNA". Lineage: Bacteria; Pseudomonadati; Pseudomonadota; Gammaproteobacteria; Enterobacterales; Enterobacteriaceae. The record is from RNAcentral.